Molecule: ribosomal RNA, 506 nt
Filed under: uncultured bacterium
Lineage: Bacteria
Description: partial 16S ribosomal RNA
Rfam family: Bacterial small subunit ribosomal RNA
Source: RNAcentral
GAUGAACGCUAGCUACAGGCUUAACACAUGCAAGUCGAGGGGUAACGAGAGGAAAGCUUGCUUUCCUUGUCGACGACCGGCGCACGGGUGAGUAACGCGUAUCCAACCUGCCCCCAACUAGGGAAUAACCUUGCGAAAGUAAGACUAAUACCCUAUAAUUUCCUCAGAUGUCAUCUGACGAGGAAUAAAGAUUUAUCGGUUGUGGAUGGGGAUGCGUCUGAUUAGUUUGUUGGCGGGGUAACGGCCCACCAAGGCAACGAUCAGUAGGGGUUCAGAGAGGAAGGUCCCCCACAUUGGAACUGAGACACGGUCCAAACUCCUACGGGAGGCAGCAGUGAGGAAUAUUGGUCAAUGGGCGGAAGCCUGAACCAGCCAAGUAGCGUGCAGGAUGACGGCCCUAUGGGUUGUAAACUGCUUUUAUACAGGAAUAAAGUUAGCCACGUGUGGUUAUUUGUAGGUACUGUAUGAAUAGGGACCGGCUAAUUCCGUGCCAGCCGCCGCCGUAA